AGAGGUCCCAAGCGUUGUUCGGAUUCACUGGGCGUAAAGGGAGCGUAGGCGGUCGGGUAAGUCUGACGUGAAAUCUUCAAGCUCAACUUGGAAACUGCGUCGGAUACUAUUCGGCUAGAGGAAUGGAGGGGAGACUGGAAUACUUGGUGUAGCAGUGAAAUGCGUAGAUAUCAAGUGGAACACCAGUGGCGAAGGCGAGUCUCUGGACAUUUCCUGACGCUGAGGCACGAAAGCCAGGGGAGCAAACGGGAUUAGAUACCCCGGUAGUCCUGGCCCUAAACGGUGCACGUUUGCUGUAAGAGGAAUCGACCCCUUUUGUGGCGAAGCUAACGCGUUAAACGUGCCGCCUGGGAAGUACGGCCCCAAGGUUA
Molecule: ribosomal RNA, 371 nt
Filed under: uncultured bacterium
Lineage: Bacteria
Description: bacterial SSU rRNA
Rfam family: Bacterial small subunit ribosomal RNA
Source: RNAcentral